UCAUAAUGGAUUUUAUUUAUUUAACUACUCUUUUUUUUUUUCUUGAUUAGUCUGGCUAAAUACCACCAUGUACUUCUGAACAGGGUAAGCAGGAAAAUGUCAGUUUUUCCAGUGGCAAAAUGAGAAGAUAUCUUCCAUAUACUGGACAUAAAAUUCCUAAGAUUUAGAGCUGAUUUUCAGCAAAACUAUAUAACGGGUGAAGCAUAUAUUUGAAAUCCUGCUCUUUGAGAAUUAUACCCUCUCCUCUCUAAACUAGUCAUCCAGUUUGCCACCUGGUUGGUCCCACUCUUUAUAUACCCGCUUCUGUAGGCUACACAUCAAUACACUUACCCAACCCUUUUUGCUAAUCUAAUGAAGUACUUCAUGCUAGCAUAAAAGAGGCCAGUUGUGAUUGUCAGGAUAUGUUAGCAGCAGGCAUAUAAGCUCUUCGAAUCUGCUAGAUCAUGCAGUCUUCAAAGGUGGGGACCAUUGCAUCUUUCUCUAAUCCAUCACGUUCCUGCACUACAUAUACUACUAAGUGAACAAGUAGAAGAGUUGAUACAAAAGUGCAUUUAUUAUUACAUCACCUUACAUCGUCUCCUCUUAUCCAUGGUCUCAGUUACCCAUGGUCAGCUGUGGUCCAGAAGCCGAUGAUCCUCCUGGUAUAUCUUCAGAAUGUCAGUAGUAGCCGAACACUACACCACAGCACCCACAUCAUUCCCUUCACUUCAUCUCCUCACCUAGGCAUUUUACACCUCGGCAUCACAAGGGGAAGGCAAUAUUAAGAGCAGUUUUCCCUGAAGCAGCUGGUAUCCACCACAUGGAUGUUCACAGCGUGAUUCCCAUACACACAGCGGAACUUCCUCGGGCUUGUAUGAUGAAGCCAAAGCUGCUGCCAACCCUGUGAUUCUCUUCAGAACUGGUGGGUUUUUCCUGGAUUGAGUGUGAAUGUGCUGAUUCUUCUAGAAUGGAAGACAAGUACUAAAUGACUUGUGCAUCUCUCAUGCCUUCUGGAAACUCAUGCCUGGAAGACACGGCCACUCAUUCCUAUGCUGCGUGGUGGCCUUUAAGAGGGCGACAGCAGCCUGCCAGCCUUCUGCAGUUGACUUGACUGCCGGCCAGGGCGGUGGUGACAAUUUCCUGUCCUAGAAUGAAUUCAAAGGAAAGCAGCUUCUCUUCUGUCUGGGACUGGGAACUCCUAUCAGCCUUGAGAGGAAACUCAGGUGAUGAAGGGAAUAAAGCCAUCUCGGAACCCAGACAAGGGAUACGGCUUCAUCCACUCAGCCUCCUACGCCUGUGUACACACUUUUCUUUGCUGUCCCAGGAUGAAGCCACAUGGGUCUGCAUAGUGUCACUCACCUCCCUG
Molecule: long non-coding RNA, 1345 nt
Organism: Lutra lutra (Eurasian river otter)
Lineage: Eukaryota; Metazoa; Chordata; Mammalia; Carnivora; Mustelidae
Exons: 3
Source: RefSeq, a predicted model, not a curated record